RNAcentral lists this ribosomal RNA (364 nucleotides) under Olavius sp. 'heron A'. RNAcentral describes it as "partial 12S ribosomal RNA". The record is from RNAcentral. Lineage: Eukaryota; Metazoa; Annelida; Clitellata; Tubificida; Naididae.
UCAUAUCCCCCCUCUAGAUCACCCAACAAAGACCACAGUCUUAAAACCAAAGAAUUUGGCGGUGUUUUAUACAAUCAGGGAGCCUAUAUCUUAAUAUGGUAAUCCACAAAUAUCUCACCAUAUAUUGAAACAUGCAGCCUGUAUAUUGCCGUAAAGCCAAUCUUAAAUAAUCAAGCAAAUAGAUUUAUAAAAUACAACUUCAGGUCAAAAUGCAGCUAAUAAUACGGAGAUAGCGGACUACACCUACUACAUGACCAAAUCAAAUUAACUUAACAAACAGAACUUGACAGUAAUAGACCUUUACUAUAGACUUAUCAACUUACUAUAAUACAUGCACAUAUCGCCCGUCACUCUCAUUGAAAAA